CGCACAUUGCGCCUGGUGGUAUUCCGCCAGGCAUGCCUGUUCGAGCGUCAUUUAAACCAAUCCAGCCUCGUGCUUGGGUCUUGGGCUUUUCGCCUCUAGGCGGGCCUCAAAAUCAGUGGCGGUGCCUUCUGGCUCUAAGCGUAGUAAUACUUCUCGCUAUAGAUGUCUGGAGGUAUCUUGCCAGCAACCCCUAAUUCUUUAAGGUUGACCUCGGAUCAGGUAGGGAUACCCGCUGAACUUAA
Molecule: unclassified non-coding RNA, 242 nt
Filed under: Helotiaceae sp.
Lineage: Eukaryota; Fungi; Ascomycota; Leotiomycetes; Helotiales; Helotiaceae
Description: partial contains 5.8S ribosomal RNA, internal transcribed spacer 2, and large subunit ribosomal RNA
Source: RNAcentral